GAUCAAAUCAAGCGCGAGAAGGGCGUUUGGUGGAUGCCUUGGCAGUAAGAGGCGAUGAAGGACGUGAUACUCUGCGAUAAGUCCUGGGGAGCUGAGAAUAAGCUUUGAUCCAGGAAUUUCCGAAUGGGGCAACCCACCUGAAAGUUCAUUAUAAUUACUUCGGUAGUUUAUAAUGUUCUUAAACAGGUACUUUUAACCUGAAUACAUAGGGUUUUAAGAGCAAACCCGGGGAACUGAAACAUCUAAGUACCCGGAGGAAAGGACAUCAAUAGAGACUCCCCUAGUAGCGGCGAGCGAACGGGGACCAGCCGAACUCUGAGAGUGACUGGAAUGGUCUGGAAAGGCCAACCAUAGCGGGUGACAGUCCCGUACAGGAAGCUCGAUGAGACGUAUCAAGUAGGGCGGGACACGUGAAAUCCUGUCUGAAGAUCGGAGGACCACCUCCGAAGGCUAAGUACUCCUUACUGACCGAUAGCGAACCAGUACCGUGAGGGAAAGGUGAAAAGCACCCCGACGAGGGGAGUGAAACAGUACCUGAAACCGAACGCCUACAAUCAGUCGGAGCU
Molecule: ribosomal RNA, 566 nt
Filed under: Salipiger sp. HF18
Lineage: Bacteria; Pseudomonadati; Pseudomonadota; Alphaproteobacteria; Rhodobacterales; Roseobacteraceae
Description: partial 23S ribosomal RNA
Rfam family: Bacterial large subunit ribosomal RNA
Source: RNAcentral